CCCUUAGAUGUUCUGGGCUGCACGCGUGCUACACUGAUAUUGCCAAUAUGUCAUUCUUAUCCGAAAUGGAUUGGGUAAUCAAGUAAUGAAAUUUCAUGCUUGGAAUCGGUAAUUGCAAUUUUAUCGUGAACGAGGAAUUCCUAGUAAGCACUGGUCAUCAGCUAAUGUUGAUUAUGUCCCUGCCCUUUGUACACACCGCCCGUCGCUACUACUGAUUGGGUGUUCAAGUGAGAUGCUUAGACCCUUGUUGCAUGGUUCAUUAUUGUGCUCCGAAAGGAAAAAGUUUCAAGCUUGAGUGUCUAGAGGAAGUAAAAGGCGUAACA
Molecule: ribosomal RNA, 323 nt
Filed under: uncultured eukaryote
Lineage: Eukaryota
Description: partial 18S ribosomal RNA
Rfam family: Eukaryotic small subunit ribosomal RNA
Source: RNAcentral